AACGAACGCUGGCGGCAGGCUUAACACAUGCAAGUCGAGCGCCCCGCAAGGGGUGCGGCAGACGGGUGGGUAACGCGUGGGGACGUACCUUUUGGUUCGGAACAACUCCGGGAAACUGGAGCUAAUACCGGAUAAGCGCUAACGGGGAAAGAUUGAUCGCCGAAAGAUCGGCCCGCGUCUGAUUAGCUAGUUGGUGAGGUAACGGCUCACCAAGGCGACGAUCAGUAGCUGGUCUGAGAGGAUGAUCAGCCACACUGGGGCUGAGACGCGGCCCAGACUCCUAGGGGAGGCAGCAGUGGGGAAUAUUGGACAAUGGGCGCAGGCCUGAUCCAGCCAUGCCGCGUGAGUGAUGAAGGCCUUAGGGUUGUAAAGCUCUUUUGUCCGGGAAGAUAAUGACUGUACCGGAAGAAUAAGCCCCGGCUAACUUCGUG
Molecule: ribosomal RNA, 431 nt
Filed under: uncultured bacterium
Lineage: Bacteria
Description: partial 16S ribosomal RNA
Rfam family: Bacterial small subunit ribosomal RNA
Source: RNAcentral